UAUCAUCGUCGUCUGGAUUUGAUUCUCGGAGAAGAAGAUCGAGAUUCCCAACGCCGGCAGGAGGACCGAUGCUACAUCGUGCAGUGAGGUGUGUCGCAAUGGCUUCUUUUAUUUUUUUGAACUGAAAAUUCAAUCACACAUAUUGAUUUCUCGAUUUCUUUUUGACAUUAACAUUGAAAUUUGAAAGUAAACCUAAUUACCUUUGGGAGUGAGCAUGAAAAGGCAUCUAAGAGACCAUCAGCACCACGGUAGAAAUGGAAAUAAGGAAGAACCUUGACAUUCAAUCGUCUGCACAUUGGUUUGUUCGCAUCGAAAUCGACUUUCACAAACAAGAGAUCGGAAUGUUGCUGCCCAACCGUUUUGCAAAGCUAACAGAUUCAACUAAAACAAGCUGAGCAUCUAACUUACUUUGAUUACAAAUCACAAAUCACUCGUUCGCUCACCCUUGGAAAGAUUGCACGGCAAGAGGCACACCAAGUUCCAUAAAAUUCAACCAAGACGAGCUUAUCUCCUGCCUCACACAGCGCGUUCAAGAAUUCCUCCGUCGACCUCACAUCGAUCGUGUUUGCAGGAGCGUUUCGUUCCCACCACUUGGGUCGGUCGCUUCUAUCAACUGCCUGAAUUAUAUAAUAAAACCAAAAUAACCCAAAUUCAUAAAAAUAACCCGAAAUCCGAAGAUGAUCCAAUUAAAUUUCUUUCCAAUUUCCAGUUUAAAACCCCCAUCACAUUCACAGACCUUUAUCGACCUAAAUCUCCGAGGAAGACGGUGAGAAACCGAACCAGAAGGACCGCUAAACACAGACUGCAAGGAGGAGAACGAGAACGGCGAUGGAGAGGAUGGAAACAGUAGUUGCUGGGGAGAAUGCUUGAGGAGAGAAGAGAACCCAACUACAAGCAAUCGAUUGGUCAUUGUGGGAAUUGGAAACAAGAGAUGGAU
Molecule: long non-coding RNA, 937 nt
Filed under: Zostera marina
Lineage: Eukaryota; Viridiplantae; Streptophyta; Magnoliopsida; Alismatales; Zosteraceae
Description: long non-coding RNA (ZMAR_LNC006051)
Source: RNAcentral